CAAGGAAUUUUGCGCAAUGGGCGAAAGCCUGACGCAGCAACACCGCGUGGGGGAUGAAGGCCUUCGGGUCGUAAACCCCUUUUCUCAGGGAAGAAGAUCUGACGGUACCUGAGGAAUAAGCCUCGGCUAACUACGUGCCAGCAGCCGCGGUAAUACGUAGGAGGCGAGCGUUAUCCGGAUUUACUGGGCGUAAAGAGAGCGUAGGCGGCUCUUUAAGUUCGGAGUGAAAUCUCCCGGCUCAACCGGGAGGGGUCUCUGAAUACUGGAGGGCUUGAGGGCAGCAGAGGGAGGUGGAAUUCCCGGUGUAGUGGUGAUAUGCGUAGAUAUCGGGAGGAACACCAGUGGCGAAGGCGGCCUCCUGGGCUGUACCUGACGCUGAGGCUCGAAAGCGUGGGGAGCGAACCGG
Molecule: ribosomal RNA, 406 nt
Filed under: uncultured bacterium
Lineage: Bacteria
Description: bacterial SSU rRNA
Rfam family: Bacterial small subunit ribosomal RNA
Source: RNAcentral